ACCAAUUGGUCAAAAAUGGGUCAAAAAUGUAUUCUUCAAUGCUUCCCAGUUUGAAAAUUGACUAAGUGGUUGAUGGUUAUAUCAUUCAAAUGCCGUAUCCUUUAAGAUUACUGGCAACCAUCGUAACCAAAUAUCUUCGGUUCUCCCAUUAUUGGCGACACAUGCUAUCAAAAACUGCGACAAAUAUUGAUUUGGAUCCGCACCCGAAAAGCCCCUAAAGGUAGGUAAUGGAGCCACGCUAGUUGUGCGAUCACUCACAGUACCCAUUUGUACUGC
Molecule: long non-coding RNA, 276 nt
Filed under: Physcomitrium patens
Lineage: Eukaryota; Viridiplantae; Streptophyta; Bryopsida; Funariales; Funariaceae
Description: long non-coding RNA (PPAT_LNC001838)
Source: RNAcentral